AACACAUCUGGUCCAAAGGCUUUGGGAUCACAGGUCAAGAAACAAAAAAAACCCUGAUGAUCAUCUGCCAGCGCUGCUCCACAAAGCAGCAACGAUGGCAGCUGUGAAGGAGCUGCUUUUGGAAACAC
This is a long non-coding RNA of Fundulus heteroclitus (mummichog), 128 nucleotides long. RefSeq lists it as uncharacterized. The transcript has 3 exons. The record is from RefSeq and is a predicted model, not a curated record. NCBI's taxonomy places the organism in Eukaryota, Metazoa, Chordata, Actinopteri, Cyprinodontiformes, Fundulidae.